RNAcentral lists this ribosomal RNA (902 nucleotides) under uncultured bacterium. RNAcentral describes it as "bacterial SSU rRNA". It matches the Rfam family "Bacterial small subunit ribosomal RNA", at positions 149 to 960 of the family's 1533-position model. The record is from RNAcentral.
GGGCGAAUUCGUUUAAACCUGCAGGACUAGUCCCUUUGAUGAGGGUUAAUUCUGAGCUUGGCGUAAUCAUGGUCAUAGCUGUUUCCUGAGUUCAUACGACCCUCUGUCUGGGCGUACACGGGUUGAAGACGUGGGACCAUUCGGGCCUCGCGCUAUCAGAUGAUCCUAAGUCCGAUUAACUCGUUGGUAGGGUAAUGGCCUACCAAGGCGACGAUCGGUAGCUGGUCUGAGAGGACGACCAGCCACACUGGGACUGAGACACGGCCCAGACUCCUACGGGAGGCAGCAGUGGGGAAUAUUGGACAAUGGGCGAAAGCCUGAUCCAGCGAUGCCGCGUGUGUGAAGAAGGCCUGCGGGUUGUAAAGCACUUUCAGUAGGGAAGAAAAGCCGAGUGCCAAUACCACUCGGUCUUGACGUUACCUAAAGAAGAAGCACCGGCUAACUCCGUGCCAGCAGCCGCGGUAAUACGGAGGGUGCGAGCGUUAAUCGGAAUUACUGGGCGUAAAGGGCGCGUAGGCGGUGAAGUAAGUCGGGUGUGAAAGCCCCGGGCUCAACCUGGGAACUGCAUUCGAUACUGCUUCGCUAGAGUAUGGUAGAGGGAAGCGGAAUUCCGGGUGUAGCGGUGAAAUGCGUAGAUAUCCGGAGGAACACCAGUGGCGAAGGCGGCUUCCUGGACCAAUACUGACGCUGAGGCGCGAAAGCGUGGGGAUCAAACAGGAUUAGAUACCCUGGUAGUCCACGCCCUAAACGAUGAGAACUAGCCGUUGGAGGAAAUUAGUCCUUUAGUGGCGCAGCUAACGCGAUAAGUUCUCCGCCUGGGGAGUACGACCGCAAGGUUAAACUCAUAGGAAUUGACGGGGGCCCGCACAAGCGGUGGAGCAUGUGGUUUAAUUCGAUGCAAC